Molecule: long non-coding RNA, 373 nt
Filed under: Phoenix dactylifera (date palm)
Lineage: Eukaryota; Viridiplantae; Streptophyta; Magnoliopsida; Arecales; Arecaceae
Description: long non-coding RNA (PDAC_LNC002873)
Source: RNAcentral
AUAUUUUAGGUAUACAGGUUGUCAUGUGAUCCCUAAAAUCACUCUAACAAGAUUAUACUAACCAAGAAAACUAAUAUAGGUUGACACAUAAUCAUGCUGAUAAAGAAAAAUAUUAUGAGUGAUGCAGGUUAUUACAUGAUCCCUAAAAUUAUUCUAACAUCUCCCCUCAAACUCAAAAUGGUACUAUACGUGCUAACUUAAGUUUGAAAACUGUAUUACGAAUGUAUCGAAAAACUGACGUACUAGAUGAUCAAGAGCUUGAAUAGUAGCUCAAAAGGGAAUAUAGUAGAUUAGGAGUUGACAUAACAACUAAAAAACUGAUAUGGCAAACUGAUUUGUUGGACUCACGUGAUAGACUAACAUGUCUGUCGAU